Molecule: ribosomal RNA, 517 nt
Filed under: uncultured bacterium
Lineage: Bacteria
Description: bacterial SSU rRNA
Rfam family: Bacterial small subunit ribosomal RNA
Source: RNAcentral
ACCGUACCAAGGCGACGAUCUGUAGCUGGUCUGAGAGGAUGGCCAGCCACACUGGAACUGAGACACGGCCCAGACUCCUACGGGAGGCAGCAGUGGGGAAUUUUGGACAAUGGGCGCAAGCCUGAUCCAGCCAUGCCGCGUGAGUGAAGAAGGCCUUCGGGGUUGUAAAGCUCUUUCGGCCGGGAAGAAAUCGUGUUCUCUAACAUAGGACAUGGAUGACGGUACCGGACUAAGAAGCACCGGCUAACUACGUGCCAGCAGCCGCGGUAAUACGUAGGGUGCGAGCGUUAAUCGGAAUUACUGGGCGUAAAGCGUGCGCAGGCGGUUUUGUAAGACAGAUGUGAAAUCCCCGGGCUUAACCUGGGAACUGCGUUUGUGACUGCAAGGCUAGAGUACGGCAGAGGGGGGUGGAAUUCCUGGUGUAGCAGUGAAAUGCGUAGAUAUCAGGAGGAACACCGAUGGCGAAGGCAGCCCCCCUGGGCCUGUACUGACGCUCAUGCACGAAAGCGUGGGGAGC